Mustela lutreola (European mink) is the source of this 873-nucleotide long non-coding RNA. RefSeq lists it as uncharacterized. NCBI's taxonomy places the organism in Eukaryota, Metazoa, Chordata, Mammalia, Carnivora, Mustelidae. The transcript has 3 exons. The record is from RefSeq and is a predicted model, not a curated record.
UCUGCAGGGAACAUUCAUCAGUGUCCUUCAGAAGCCUCCGCCUGGGACACUCCAGCCUCGGAGGACAGGAAGAAGGAGCACAUUCAGCAAAAUAGAAUGAGCUGGAACAAUGUGUGAGGUCGGCGGGGAUGCGCGAGCAAGUGCACUCUGUACCCUGGAGGCCGAGUGAAAAGAGACAAAAUGUUUUAAGAAAGAGUGACCAUUUGUGUCCAGUGCUGGCAUUUGGAACAAUAAGGAUAGAGAACUAACAAUUGAAGUGGACAAUGCGAAGCCAGUUUCCUUGGAAUGCUGGAGACAAAGCUGUUCUGAAGAGAAUGGAAGGGAAGAGAGUCAAGCCCUUUGGGGAGUUUCACCCCACAGAUGGGAAAUGCUGCAACAUUAUAUGCCAGUAGGAAGUCCAGUGGAAGGGGCAGGCGGGGGUCAUUUGGACCAGAAGGCGUAACCAUGGCAGCGAAGUCCCCAUGUGCAGGAAGCUCUAUGCCCAUUGUGGGGCUGGAAAUCAGGACCUCAAGUUCAACAGUCUCCCGCCGGACCGACUGAGCCAGCCAGAUGCCCCAUACCGCCAUUUUAAAAUAAAGCCAUUAUCAUUACUCAAAGUCAAUGGAAUAUAAACAUUAUGCAUGUAAAGGCAUCAACAGAUAAGAGUUUAACACCGUUGGGUGCCUGAGUGGCUCAGUGGGUUAAGCAGCUGCCUUCAGCUCAGGUCAUGAUCUCAGGGUCCUGGGAUCGAGUCCUGCAUCGGGGGCUCUACUCAGCAGGGAGCCUGCUUCCCUCUAUCUCUCUCUCUGCCUGCCUCUCCGUCUACUUGUGAUCUCUCUCUGUCAAAUAAAUAAAUAAAAUCUUUAAAAAAAAAUUUAAAAAAAGAGUUUAACA